This 383-nucleotide ribosomal RNA is filed under the name uncultured eukaryote. RNAcentral describes it as "partial 18S ribosomal RNA". It matches the Rfam family "Eukaryotic small subunit ribosomal RNA", at positions 592 to 976 of the family's 1831-position model. The record is from RNAcentral.
CAAUAGCGUAUAUUAAAGUUGUUGCAGUUAAAAAGCUCGUAGUCGGAUUUCUGGUGGGAGCGAUCGGUCUGGCGCUUAGCGCGAGUACUUGCAUCGUCUCCGGCCAUCCUUGGGGAGAGUCUGUCUGGCAUUAAGUUGUCGGGCAGAGGAUCCUCAUCGUUUACUGUGAAAAAAUUAGAGUGUUCAAAGCAGGCUUAUGCCGUUGAAUAUAUUAGCAUGGAAUAAUAAGAUAGGACUUUGGUACUAUUUUGUUGGUUUGCGCACCAAAGUAAUGAUUAAUAGGGACAGUUGGGGGUAUUCGUAUUCCGUUGUCAGAGGUGAAAUUCUUGGAUUUACGGAAGACGAACUACUGCGAAAGCAUUUACCAAGGAUGUUUUCAUUAA